RNAcentral lists this ribosomal RNA (269 nucleotides) under uncultured prokaryote. RNAcentral's name for it is "partial 16S ribosomal RNA". It matches the Rfam family "Bacterial small subunit ribosomal RNA", at positions 524 to 792 of the family's 1533-position model. The record is from RNAcentral.
UACGUAGGUGGCAAGCGUUGUCCGGAUUUACUGGGUGUAAAGGGCGUGUAGGCGGGGAUGCAAGUCAGAUGUGAAAUCCCGCGGCUCAACCGCGGAACUGCAUCUGAAACUGCGUCUCUUGAGUGUCGGAAGGGAAAGUGGAAUUCCUAGUGUAGCGGUGAAAUGCGUAGAUAUUAGGAGGAACACCGGUGGCGAAGGCGGCUUUCUGGCCAGUUACUGACGCUCAUGCGCGAAAGCUGGGGUAGCGAACCGGAUUAGAUACCCUGGUA